Molecule: ribosomal RNA, 253 nt
Filed under: uncultured bacterium
Lineage: Bacteria
Description: partial 16S ribosomal RNA
Rfam family: Bacterial small subunit ribosomal RNA
Source: RNAcentral
UACGAAGGGUGCAAACGUUGCUCGGAAUUAUUGGGCGUAAAGCGCACGUAGGCGGCUUAGCAAGUCGGAAGUGAAAUCCCUCGGCUCAACCAAGGAAGUGCUUUCGAAACUGCUGAGCUUGAGUACUUAAGAGGAUCGCGGAAUUCCCGGUGUAGAGGUGAAAUUCGUAGAUAUCGGGAGGAACACCAGUGGCGAAGGCGGCGAUCUGGGAAGAUACUGACGCUGAGGAGCGAAAGCCAGGGGAGCAAACGGG